Molecule: ribosomal RNA, 883 nt
Filed under: Rothia mucilaginosa
Lineage: Bacteria; Bacillati; Actinomycetota; Actinomycetes; Micrococcales; Micrococcaceae
Description: bacterial SSU rRNA
Rfam family: Bacterial small subunit ribosomal RNA
Source: RNAcentral
AGAGUUUGAUUCUGGCUCAGGACGAACGCUGGCGGCGUGCUUAACACAUGCAAGUCGAACGAUGAAGCCUAGCUUGCUAGGUGGAUUAGUGGCGAACGGGUGAGUAAUACGUGAGUAACCUACCUUUAACUCUGGGAUAAGCCUGGGAAACUGGGUCUAAUACCGGAUACGACCAAUCUCCGCAUGGGGUGUUGGUGGAAAGCGUUAUGUAGUGGUUAUAGAUGGGCUCACGGCCUAUCAGCUUGUUGGUGAGGUAACGGCUCACCAAGGCGACGACGGGUAGCCGGCCUGAGAGGGUGACCGGCCACACUGGGACUGAGACACGGCCCAGACUCCUACGGGAGGCAGCAGUGGGGAAUAUUGCACAAUGGGCGCAAGCCUGAUGCAGCGACGCCGCGUGAGGGAUGACGGCCUUCGGGUUGUAAACCUCUGUUAGCAGGGAAGAAGAGAGAUUGACGGUACCUGCAGAGAAAGCGCCGGCUAACUACGUGCCAGCAGCCGCGGUAAUACGUAGGGCGCGAGCGUUGUCCGGAAUUAUUGGGCGUAAAGAGCUUGUAGGCGGUUUGUCGCGUCUGCUGUGAAAGGCCGGGGCUUAACUCCGUGUAUUGCAGUGGGUACGGGCAGACUAGAGUGCAGUAGGGGAGACUGGAAUUCCUGGUGUAGCGGUGGAAUGCGCAGAUAUCAGGAGGAACACCGAUGGCGAAGGCAGGUCUCUGGGCUGUAACUGACGCUGAGAAGCGAAAGCAUGGGGAGCGAACAGGAUUAGAUACCCUGGUAGUCCAUGCCGUAAACGUUGGGCACUAGGUGUGGGGGACAUUCCACGUUUUCCGCGCCGUAGCUAACGCAUUAAGUGCCCCGCCUGGGGAGUACGGCCGCAAGGCUA